GUGCAGCAGUCGAGAAUACUUUACAAUGCGGGAAACCGUGAUAAGGGAACCUCGAGUGCUGAUGCCCAGCAUUGGCUGUCCGCAUGCCUAAAAAGCAUGUGUUAGCAAGGGCCGGGCAAGACCGGUGCCAGCCGCCGCGGUAACACCGGCGGCUCGAGUGGUAGCCACUUUUAUUGGGUCUAAAGCGUCCGUAGCCGGCUUGGUAAGUCUUCUGGGAAAUCUGGCGGCUCAACCGUCAGGCGUCCAGGAGAUACUGUCAGGCUCGGGACCGGGAGAGGU
This 279-nucleotide ribosomal RNA is filed under the name uncultured microorganism. RNAcentral describes it as "partial 16S ribosomal RNA". It matches the Rfam family "Archaeal small subunit ribosomal RNA", at positions 330 to 609 of the family's 1478-position model. The record is from RNAcentral.